This 333-nucleotide ribosomal RNA is filed under the name uncultured Geobacillus sp. RNAcentral describes it as "bacterial SSU rRNA". It matches the Rfam family "Bacterial small subunit ribosomal RNA", at positions 1049 to 1382 of the family's 1533-position model. The record is from RNAcentral. Lineage: Bacteria; Bacillati; Bacillota; Bacilli; Caryophanales; Anoxybacillaceae.
UUGUCGUCAGCUCGUGUCGUGAGAUGUUGGGUUAAGUCCCGCAACGAGCGCAACCCUCGCCUCUAGUUGCCAGCAUUCGGUUGGGCACUCUAGAGGGACUGCCGGCGACAAGUCGGAGGAAGGUGGGGAUGACGUCAAAUCAUCAUGCCCCUUAUGACCUGGGCUACACACGUGCUACAAUGGGCGGUACAAAGGGCUGCGAACCCGCGAGGGGGAGCGAAUCCCAAAAAGCCGCUCUCAGUUCGGAUUGCAGGCUGCAACUCGCCUGCAUGAAGCCGGAAUCGCUAGUAAUCGCGGAUCAGCAUGCCGCGGUCGAAUACGUUCCCGGGCCUU